AUGCACACACCUGUGCACUCACACACCUGUGCGCUCACACACCUGUGCAUUCACACACCUGUGCACUCACACACCUGUGCAUUCACACACCUGUGCAUUCACACACCUGUGCGCUCACACACCUGUGCGCUCACACACCUGUGCACUCACACACCUGUGCGCUCACACACCUGUGCACUCACACACCUGUGCAUUCACACACCUGUGCACACACACACCUGUGCAUUCACACACCUGUGCGCUCACACACCUGUGCAUUCACACACCUGUGCGCUCACACACCUGUGCGCUCACACACCUGUGCAUGCACACACCUGUGCGCUCACACACCUGUGCGCUCACACACCUGUGCGCUCACACACCUGUGCACUCACACACCUGUGCAUUCACACACCUGUGCACUCACACACCUGUGCAUUCACACACCUGUGCACACACACACCUGUGCAUUCACACACCUGUGCGCUCACACACCUGUGCACUCACACACCUGUGCAUUCACACAUCUGUGCGCUCACACACCUGUGCGCUCACACACCUGUGCACUCACACACCUGUGCAUUCACACACCUGUGCAUUCACACACCUGUGCAAUCACACACCUGUGCACUCACACACCUGUGCACACACACACCUGUGCAUUCACACACCUGUGCGCUCACACACCUGUGCACACACACACCUGUGCAUUCACACACCUGUGCGCUCACACACCUGUGCAUGCACACACCUGUGCAUUCACACACCUGUGCACUCACACACCUGUGCGCUCACACACCUGUGCGCUCACACACCUGUGCACUCACACACCUGUGCAUUCACACACCUGUGCAUUCACACACCUGUGCAUUCACACACCUGUGCAAUCACACACCUGUGCACUCACACACCUGUGCACACACACACCUGUGCAUUCACACACCUGUGCGCUCACACACCUGUGCACACACACACCUGUGCAUUCACACACCUGUGCGCUCACACACCUGUGCAUUCACACACCUGUGCGCUCACACACCUGUGCGCUCACACACCUGUGCAUGCACACACCUGUGCGCUCACACACCUGUGCGCUCACACACCUGUGCAUGCACACACCUGUGCGCUCACACACCCGUGCAUGCACACACCUGUGCACUCACACACCUGUGCGCGCACACACCUGUGCACUCACACACCUGUGCGCGCACACACCUGUGCGCUCACACACCUGUGCAUUCACACACCUGUGCACUCACACACCUGUGCACUCACACACCUGUGCAUUCACACACCUGUGCGCUCACACACCUGUGCAUUCACACACCUGUGCACUCACACACCUGUGCAUGCACACACCUGUGCAUUCACACACCUGUGCACUCACACACCUGUGCACUCACACACCUGUGCAUUCACACACCUGUGCGCUCACACACCUGUGCAUUCACACACCUGUGCAUUCACACACCUGUGCGCUCACACACCUGUGCGCUCACACACCUGUGCAUGCUCACACCUGUGCAUUCACACACCUGUGCGCUCACACACCUGUGCGCUCACACACCUGUGCAUUCACACACCUGUGCACUCACACACCUGUGCGCUCACACACCUGUGCGCUCACACACCUGUGCACACACACACCUGUGCAUUCACACACCUGUGCAUGCACACACCUGUGCACUCACACACCUGUGCGCGCACACACCUGUGCGCUCACACACCUGUGCGCUCACACACCUGUGCAUGCACACACCUGUGCGCUCACACACCUGUGCGCUCACACACCUGUGCAUUCACACACCUGUGCACUCACACACCUGUGCGCUCACACACCUGUGCAUUCACACACCUGUGCGCUCACACACCUGUGCAUGCACACACCUGUGCACUCACACACCUGUGCAUGCACACACCUGUGCAUUCACACACCUGUGCGCUCACACACCUGUGCAUUCACACACCUGUGCGCUCACACACCUGUGCACACACACACACCUGUGCAUUCACACACCUGUGCAUGCACAAACCUGUGCACGCACACACCUGUGCAUUCACACACCUGUGCACUCACACACCUGUGCAUUCACACACCUGUGCAUUCACACACCUGUGCGCUCACACACCUGUGCAUUCACACACCUGUGCACUCACACACCUGUGCACUCACACACCUGUGCAUUCACACACCUGUGCGCUCACACACCUGUGCGCUCACACACCUGUGCGCGCACACACCUGUGCAUUCACACACCUGUGCGCUCACACACCUGUGCGCGCACACACCUGUGCGCUCACACACCUGUGCAUUCACACACCUGUGCACACACACACCUGUGCACUCACACACCUGUGCAUGCACACACCUGCGCGCUCACACACCUGUGCAUGCUCACACCUGUGCACUCACACACCUGUGCGUUCACACACCUGUGCACUCACACACCUGUGCGCUCACACACCUGUGCGCUCACACACCUGUGCAUUCACACACCUGUGCACUCACACACCUGUGCGCUCACACACCUGUGCAUUCACACACCUGUGCACUCACACACCUGUGCAUGCACACACCUGUGCGCUCACACACCUGUGCGCUCACACACCUGUGCAUUCACACACCUGUGCACUCACACACCUGUGCGCUCACACACCUGUGCAUUCACACACCUGUGCACUCACACACCUGUGCACUCACACACCUGUGCAUGCACACACCUGUGCGCUCACACACCUGUGCACUCACACACCUGUGCGCUCACACACCUGUGCGCUCACACACCUGUGCAUGCACACACCUGUGCAUUCACACACCUGUGCACACACACACCUGUGCACUCACACACCUGUGCAUGCACACACCUGUGCACUCACACACCUGUGCAUGCACACACCUGUGCAUGCACACACCUGUGCAUGCUCACACCUGUGCACUCACACACCUGUGCAUUCACACACCUGUGCACUCACACACCUGUGCGCUCACACACCUGUGCACUCACACACCUGUGCAGUCACACACCUGUGCAUUCACACACCUGUGCACUCACACACCUGUGCGCUCACACACCUGUGCACUCACACACCUGUGCAUUCACACACCUGUGCACUCACACACCUGUGCGCUCACACACCUGUGCGCUCACACACCUGUGCAUGCACACACCUGUGCACUCACACACCUGUGCACUCACACACCUGUGCAUUCACACACCUGUGCACUCACACACCUGUGCACUCACACACCUGUGCAUUCACACACCUGUGCACACACACACCUGUGCGCUCACACACCUGAGCAUGCUCACACCUGUGCGCUCACACACCUGUGCUAUCACACAGCCGGGCACACACACACCUGUGCACUCACACACCUGUGCAUUCACACACCUGUGCGCUCACACACCUGUGCAUUCACACACCUGUGCAUGCACACACCUGUGCACUCACACACCUGUGCACUCACACACCUGUGCAUGCACACACCUGUGCAUUCACACACCGGUGCGCUCACACACCUGUGCAUUCACACACCUGUGCACUCACACACCUGUGCAUUCACACACCUGUGCAUGCACACACCUGGGCAUUCACACACCUGGGCAUUCACACACCUGUGCGAGCCCAUUUGUGCACACGUGUGUGUGCGUGUUCCCCUGGCCGUGCAUUUGGGUGUGA
This 3660-nucleotide long non-coding RNA is filed under the name Corvus moneduloides (New Caledonian crow). Its description in RNAcentral is "lncRNA (ENSCMUG00000018428.1)". Lineage: Eukaryota; Metazoa; Chordata; Aves; Passeriformes; Corvidae. The record is from RNAcentral.